AAGUCAAUAGAGAGUGGUGAACAGCAGAUAGAAUAUUCAAAGUGGCAGAAUGUUAGCCCAAAAAUACCUUACCAAUGCUGUUCAUUUACCUUCCUUUUAUAAAUGAGUUGUUGAUACUCGUUUGUAACAGUUAGGCAUGUGGAUCUCGCUUAUUCUGGUACUAUGUGAUCGUGGGAUGGACAGUUAAUGUCCACUGAUGAUCAUGGUAC
Molecule: long non-coding RNA, 209 nt
Filed under: Elaeis guineensis (African oil palm)
Lineage: Eukaryota; Viridiplantae; Streptophyta; Magnoliopsida; Arecales; Arecaceae
Description: long non-coding RNA (EGUI_LNC016088)
Source: RNAcentral